GCCCGCACGACUCUUCCUAGUCCUGUUCUUCCGAGCACUAAAGCCUCUUGUCCUUGCAUAUCUAUUGUAGAACUCAAAUGCAAUGUCGACAUCAGAAAAGUGAAAAUGACAUACAUCUUCAUCCCUGAUGUUCCAAAAUUCAAUCAUCCCAAUGUCUUCGAGUGAGUCAAUGUUAUACCCUUCAUCGAAGCCGUGAUAAUCGAACAUUGGUUCCACAUUUGUGUCGUCCUCAUCCAUAUAAUCCACGUCAACUUCCUCAUGUUUUUCUUCCUCCUGCUCAUACUGAUCAUAUGAUGUAUGCUCGCUAUUAAUCCCUUC
RNAcentral lists this long non-coding RNA (318 nucleotides) under Arachis ipaensis. RNAcentral's name for it is "long non-coding RNA (AIPA_LNC001690)". Lineage: Eukaryota; Viridiplantae; Streptophyta; Magnoliopsida; Fabales; Fabaceae. The record is from RNAcentral.